GACGAACGCUGGCGGCGUGCUUAACACAUGCAAGUCGAACGGAAAGGCCCUGCUUUUGUUGGGUGCUCGAGUGGCGAACGGGUGAGUAACACGUGAGUAACCUGCCCUUGACUUUGGGAUAACUUCAGGAAACUGGGGCUAAUACCGGAUAGGAGCUCCUGCUGCAUUGUGGGGGUUGGAAAGUUUCGGCGGUUGGGGAUGGACUCGCGGCUUAUCAGCUUGUUGGUGGGGUAGUGGCUUACCAAGGCUUUGACGGGUAGCCGGCCUGAGAGGGUGACCGGCCACAUUGGGACUGAGAUACGGCCCAGACUCCUACGGGAGGCAGCAGUGGGGAAUAUUGCACAAUGGGCGGAAGCCUGAUGCAGCAACGCCGCGUGCGGGAUGACGGCCUUCGGGUUGUAAACCGCUUUCGCCUGUGACGAAGCGUGAGUGACGGUAAUGGGUAAAGAAGCACCGGCUAACUACGUG
RNAcentral lists this ribosomal RNA (468 nucleotides) under uncultured bacterium. Its description in RNAcentral is "partial 16S ribosomal RNA". It matches the Rfam family "Bacterial small subunit ribosomal RNA", at positions 28 to 507 of the family's 1533-position model. The record is from RNAcentral.